This 484-nucleotide ribosomal RNA is filed under the name uncultured bacterium. RNAcentral describes it as "partial 16S ribosomal RNA". It matches the Rfam family "Bacterial small subunit ribosomal RNA", at positions 28 to 523 of the family's 1533-position model. The record is from RNAcentral.
GACGAACGCUGGCGGCGUGCUUAACACAUGCAAGUCGAACGAUGAUGCUGGAGCUUGCUCCAGUUGAUUAGUGGCGAACGGGUGAGUAACACGUGAGCAAUCUGCCCUUGACUCUGGGAUAACUGCGGGAAACUGUAGCUAAUACCGGAUACUUUCACCGGAAGGCAUCUUCUGGUGAUGAAAGAAUUUCGGUCAGGGAUGAGCUCGCGGCCUAUCAGCUUGUUGGUGAGGUAACGGCUCACCAAGGCGACGACGGGUAACCGGCCUGAGAGGGUGACCGGUCACACUGGGACUUCGACACGGCCCAGACUCCUACGGGAGGCAGCAGUGGGGAAUAUUGCACAAUGGGCGCAAGCCUGAUGCAGCAACGCCGCGUGAGGGAUGAAGGCCUUCGGGUUGUAAACCUCUUUUAGCAGGGAAGAAGCGAAAGUGACGGUACCUGCAGAAAAAGCACCGGCUAACUACGUGCCAGCCGCCGCAGUAA